GAUGAACGCUGGCGGCGUGCCUAACACAUGCAAGUCGAGCGGAGAUAUUGGAAGCAGUAAUGCGGAAGAUAUUUUAGCGGCGGACGGGUGAGUAACACGUGAGCAAUCUGCCUCUGACUGGGGGAAUAACAUUGUGAAAACAAUGCUAAUACCGCAUAACGUCCGACCGGGGCAUCCCGGACGGACCAAAGGAGUAAUCCGGUCAUAGAUGAGCUCGCGUCCGAUUAGUUAGUUGGUGAGGUAAUGGCUCACCAAGACCGCGAUCGGUAGCCGGACUGAGAGGUUGAACGGCCACAUUGGGACUGAGACACGGCCCAGACACCUACGGGAGGCAG
RNAcentral lists this ribosomal RNA (335 nucleotides) under uncultured Bacillota bacterium. Its description in RNAcentral is "bacterial SSU rRNA". It matches the Rfam family "Bacterial small subunit ribosomal RNA", at positions 28 to 351 of the family's 1533-position model. Lineage: Bacteria; Bacillati; Bacillota. The record is from RNAcentral.